Long non-coding RNA from Paramisgurnus dabryanus, 2465 nucleotides. RefSeq lists it as uncharacterized. The record is from RefSeq and is a predicted model, not a curated record. Lineage: Eukaryota; Metazoa; Chordata; Actinopteri; Cypriniformes; Cobitidae.
GUUACAUUUGUAUCCAAAAGAUAAUGAAUGUGGCUACAAAACACCAUUGGCACUGUGACUCAUAUGAUUUGUGGGAAUCCUGCCCUUACACUCUUAGAAAGGAUUUACACAUCUUUGUGUGUUAAUCUUUUAACACAUUAUGAGUAAUUUGAACACAUUAUGUGUCAUUUUGUGUUGAUUUUGUGUUAAAAUAUAACACAAGGGGCCCUAUUUUAACGAUCUUAAACGCAAGUGCGAAGCGCAACGCGCAAGUGAGCUUGUGGGCGGAUCUUGGGCGCUGUUGCUAUUUUCCCGGCGUGAGAAAUAACUCUUGCGCCGGGCGCAAAUCAAUAAGGGGUUGGUCUGAAGUAGGUUCAUUAUUCAUAGGUGUGGUUUGGGCGUAACGUCAAAUAAACCAAUCAGAACGCUAUCCAACAUUCCCUUUAAACGCAAGGGCGCAAGUUCCAUGGCGGGUUGCUAUUAUUAUGACGGAUUUACCAGGCGUACGCCAGGAGCGGUUCACAGCCGAGGAGACCGACGUUCUUGUAAGAGCAGUCAAAGUCAGAGAAGUUGUUUUGUAUGGGGAUGGGAGAAACCCGCCCAAAUCAGCGUAGGUUAAACAGGCGUGAGAGGAAUUAUAGCCACAAUUGUCUCAUCAGCUGGCAUCCCCAUCGUUGCGCCAAGCGCUACAAUGAUGUCAGGAGACGGGGAAUCCCAAGCUUGCCAGCAUAAAUCGGGCACGCCGUGUAACGGGAGGUGGAUCUGCUUCUACACAGGACCAGAUGCCAGCAGAGGACAUCGUUGCGUCCACCCUCACUGAAAGGGUUUGGGGGCUUUGAAAUCGGACCCAAGAAACGCAAGCAAGGUCCAACCCCAAAGUACACUUACAAAUCAAGUUUAUAUACAUUAAGGUUUCUUAUGAAAACAUUUCAAUUAUUAUUUACAUAAAAUAAAUGUAAUACAGCCAUACAACAAACUUAUGAAAAUAUUUUAAUCGUUAUUUGCAUGAUCAUUUUUUAACACAGCCACACAAUAAAUAAAAACUAUCACCACAAUGCUCACCACUAUGAUUCCCCUUAUCUCAUGUGUUAAUAUUUUUUAGUGUAACAAUUUAUGAUUUGCAAAAAUAACUGUUGCAUCUGUGUAGAUUAGAUAAGCAAAGUUUGUGUGCGUUGUGCACGCUAUACAUUAUGCUCAAGCAUGCGCCCUUAAAAAAGCAUAAUGAACAACGCGCAACUCGCCACUGACUUUAAAGAGCACCUAUUAUGAGAUACACGUUUUUAAACAUCCUUUUGUGUGUAAGUGUGUAUUAGUACAUGCUAACGAUAUUCAAAAAGCACAUACCUCAAAGAAAACGAUGACGCGAGUUAUCUCUAACGUUCGAGGACUACAAAAAACACUCGGAUUGUAGGCAACAGUUUACUUCCUGGGAUUAGUGACGUAGAUAAGACCAACAUUAUCAUAGUUCAGCCCUCUCUGCUUGGCUGGGGUACGCCCUCAAAGACGGGGGUGGGGAGCGCCGAGUCAGAAGAGAGCUAAAAUGGCGGAGGUUGGGAGUCCCUGCUUGGACCCUUUUUGCAAACUCUUGCUUCAUUGUUUAAGUGAUUAAAUGUCUCGAGUAGACGCUGUCUCUUUAGAUGCGAGGGCAAAAUAGCACUUUAUGGACUUACACAGAGGACAUCAUGUUUAAUACGGUUCCGGAAAAAUCCAGUCAGAAGUUGUUCACGGAGUUUUCACAAUAACUCCUUUUUAUGAACCGAAGCUGGAUUUGCGUGACGUUUCCUCCUGAAAGUUGGAUUACCGUGCACUUCUGGAUCACAGGCUAUUCGCAGCUGGACACAUCCUUCUACACUGUAUGCAAACAUGCAACAUCAUAACACACAGUACAAGGAGUCAGACUGGCAUAUGAGGAGCAAAGGAACCCAGGCAGUAGCAUCUUUUCACAAUGUUUCCAUCACCAUCAUCAGUGGAUGUCUUUGCCGUCCGUACCCUGAGAUUUCAGAUUUGCAGCAAAAAAUUUGACUUUCCCAUUUAUUGGAAUGCUGUGCAGGUUGUACCUUGCAGCCAUCCAUUACAAUGUCACCAAGCCGUAACAAAAGCAACAGAGGGAAAGUACAAGGCUAUGUUCCCAAAACACACAAGUGACAUACCUUAUGUGGAGGAUGUGAUCAGGCUUGUGUUUGCUGAGGUAUUUGGAGACAAGCUGAAGGAAACCCCGAUUCCAAUGGACCUGGCAUCACAGUUUGAGAGACCUUCAAAGGAGGACGUGAUUGCAUGCCAUCUUCAGUGCAGGGGUCGUCGAAAGCCAAAAUUGUGACCGAUCUGAUCAGGAAGCUCCAAGCGUAUCUGGAGAACAACACACGACAGGAUGAUAACCCUAAAGUGUCGUCUUAGAUAGCACCAGCUGACAAAGCUUUGAUAUGCCAUUUAUCUGAAUAGAUAGCUGUAAGAAAUGAAUUGAACAAUUUUUGAAAGAAGAACACAAU